This 426-nucleotide ribosomal RNA is filed under the name uncultured bacterium. RNAcentral describes it as "bacterial SSU rRNA". It matches the Rfam family "Bacterial small subunit ribosomal RNA", at positions 28 to 453 of the family's 1533-position model. The record is from RNAcentral.
GAUGAACGCUGGCGGCGUGCUUAACACAUGCAAGUCGAACGGGAUCCAUCAAGCUUGCCUGGUGGUGAGAGUGGCGAACGGGUGAGUAAUGCGUGACCGACCUGCCCCAUACACCGGAAUAGCUCCUGGAAACGGGUGGUAAUGCCGGAUGCUCCAGUUGAUCGCAUGGUCUUCUGGGAAAGCUUUCGCGGUAUGGGAUGGGGUCGCGUCCUAUCAGCUUGACGGCGGGGUAACGGCCCACCGUGGCUUCGACGGGUAGCCGGCCUGAGAGGGCGACCGGCCACAUUGGGACUGAGAUACGGCCCAGACUCCUACGGGAGGCAGCAGUGGGGAAUAUUGCACAAUGGGCGCAAGCCUGAUGCAGCGACGCCGCGUGAGGGAUGGAGGCCUUCGGGUUGUAAACCUCUUUUAUCGGGGAGCAAGCGA